CCUACGGGAGGCAGCAGUGGGGAAUUUUGGACAAUGGGCGCAAGCCUGAUCCAGCAAUGCCGCGUGAGUGAAGAAGGCCUUCGGGUUGUAAAGCUCUUUUGUCAGGGAAGAAACGGCUCCAGCUAAUAUCUGGGGCUAAUGACGGUACCUGAAGAAUAAGCACCGGCUAACUACGUGCCAGCAGCCGCGGUAAUACGUAGGGUGCAAGCGUUAAUCGGAAUUACUGGGCGUAAAGCGUGCGCAGGCGGUUUUGUAAGUCUGUCGUGAAAGCCCCGGGCUCAACCUGGGAAUUGCGAUGGAGACUGCAAGGCUUGAAUCUGGCAGAGGGGGGUAGAAUUCCACGUGUAGCAGUGAAAUGCGUAGAGAUGUGGAGGAACACCGAUGGCGAAGGCAGCCCCCUGGGUCAAGAUUGACGCUCAUGCACGAAAGCGUGGGGAGCAAACAGGAUUAGAUACCCUGGUAGUCCACGCCCUAAACGAUGUCUACUAGUUGUCGGGUUUUAAUUAACUUGGUAACGCAGCUAACGCGUGAAGUAGACCGCCUGGGGAGUACGGUCGCAAGAUUAAAACGUCAAAGAGUAGUACGGACGUGAGAGAGCGACGACGACGACGAGGAGGAGGAGG
This 623-nucleotide ribosomal RNA is filed under the name uncultured bacterium. RNAcentral describes it as "bacterial SSU rRNA". It matches the Rfam family "Bacterial small subunit ribosomal RNA", at positions 338 to 956 of the family's 1533-position model. The record is from RNAcentral.